Molecule: ribosomal RNA, 494 nt
Filed under: uncultured bacterium
Lineage: Bacteria
Description: partial 16S ribosomal RNA
Rfam family: Bacterial small subunit ribosomal RNA
Source: RNAcentral
GACGAACGCUGGCGGCGUGCUUAACACAUGCAAGUCGAACGGUGAAGCGCCUUCCUUUUUGGUGGGUGUGGAUGAGUGGCGAACGGGUGAGUAACACGUGAGUAACCUGCCCCCUUCUUCUGGAUAACCGCAUGAAAGUGUGGCUAAUACGGGAUAUUCUGGGUCUGUCGCAUGAUGGGUCUGGGAAAGAUAUUGUUUCGGUGGGGGAUGGGCUCGCGGCCUAUCAGCUUGUUGGUGGGGUGAUGGCCUACCAAGGCGGUGACGGGUAGCCGGCCUGAGAGGGUGGACGGUCACACUGGGACUGAGACACGGACCAGACUCCGACGGGAGGCAGCAGUGGGGAAUAUUGCACAAUGGGCGCAAGCCUGAUGCAGCGACGCCGCGUGAGGGAUGGAGGCCUUCGGGUUGUGAACCUCUUUCGCCAGUGAAGCAGGCCUGCCUCGUUUGUGGGUGGGUUGACGGUAGCUGGAUAAGAAGCGCCGGCUAACUACGUG